Molecule: transfer RNA, 65 nt
Filed under: Ninus insignis
Lineage: Eukaryota; Metazoa; Arthropoda; Insecta; Hemiptera; Ninidae
Description: tRNA-Gly
Source: RNAcentral
ACUUUUUUAUUAUAAAUUAUUAUAUUUGAUUUCCAAUCAAAAGAUCUUAAAUUAAAGAAAAAGUA